CAAAUAUCUAAUAAUGGGUUCUUCCAUCUAACAGAGAAAGGUAGAACAUGAUCUGAUGGCUUGAAGUUGAAGCUAGACAAAUUGAGACAUGAAAUAAGGCAUACAUUUAUAACAUCCCAUAUCGGCUGCUGUAUGGAUAGGCUGUCCUGCCUUGGGUGGAAUCAGACAGUCUCAGAUGCUGUAGUUGACUUGCUUUGCAGUGGCUGACUCACAAAAAAACAAAAAAAGAGCACAACAGAAAGGAGAAAAACAAGAGUAAAUACAGAGGACAGGAAAAAAUUAACACCAUUAAUUUAAUCCUUGCAUGUUAGUGCACUUAUUGAACCAGACACACAAUAAAAAAUCAGCAC
Long non-coding RNA from Mauremys mutica (yellowpond turtle), 350 nucleotides. RefSeq lists it as uncharacterized. The record is from RefSeq and is a predicted model, not a curated record. The transcript has 3 exons. Lineage: Eukaryota; Metazoa; Chordata; Testudines; Geoemydidae.